This 253-nucleotide ribosomal RNA is filed under the name uncultured bacterium. RNAcentral's name for it is "partial 16S ribosomal RNA". It matches the Rfam family "Bacterial small subunit ribosomal RNA", at positions 524 to 776 of the family's 1533-position model. The record is from RNAcentral.
GACAGAGGGUGCUAGCGUUGUUCGGAAUGACUGGGCGUAAAGGGAGCGUAGGCUGUCCUGUAAGUUAGGUGUGAAAGCCCUGGGCUCAACCCAGGAAUGGCACUUAAAACUGCAGGGCUAGAGAUCGAGAGAGGAAAGUGGAAUUCCUAGUGUAGAGGUGAAAUUCGUAGAUAUUAGGAGGAACACCAGAGGCGAAGGCGGCUUUCUGGCUCGAUACUGACGCUGAGGCUCGAAAGCGUGGGGAGCAAACAGG